ACGUAGGGGGCGAGCGUUAUCCGGAAUUAUUGGGCGUAAAGAGUACGUAGGUGGUUUUUUAAGCGCAGGGUUUAAGGCGAUGGCUCAACUGUCGUUCGCCCUGUGAACUGGAAGACUUGAGUACAGGAGAGGAAAGCGGAAUUCCUAGUGUAGCGGUGAAAUGAAUAUAUAUUAGGAGGAACACCAGAGGCGAAGGCGGCUUUCUGGAUUAUAACCGCCACUGAUGUACGAAAGCGUGGGGAUCAGUCAG
RNAcentral lists this ribosomal RNA (250 nucleotides) under uncultured prokaryote. Its description in RNAcentral is "partial 16S rRNA". It matches the Rfam family "Bacterial small subunit ribosomal RNA", at positions 525 to 775 of the family's 1533-position model. The record is from RNAcentral.